UUUUUUGUUUUUUUUUUUUUGUUUUCCUGUUUAAAUAGUCUUGCAUUUCUUUGUUCAUUGACAUUUAAUCAAUUAUUCAAAAAUAUUUAAAUUCUAAUCAAUUGUUCAUAAUUAUUAAUGCUUAAAAAAUAUGAAUCAAUUGUUUCAAUAUUAAUCAUAAUUUUAAUCAAUUGUUCAAAAUUAUUGAUUAAUAAAAAAAUUAUCUGACUAGCUUUGACAUGUGAAUGCUGUGUCACCUACAAAGGUGUACACAUCAGAAUUAAUUAGCAUUAUCGUUUACAAAAAUGUUAUCAUGUGUGUACUGCUGGUGUCUUAUUUAAAUAAAUAAAUAAAUUCUUUUAGUUCGAACAAUUUCCCCUUUCAAAACAGAAACAUUACACGAUUUUUUAAAAUAUGUCAGAAUCAGAAGUAAAAUGCGUUGAAAUGAAAUGAAAACAUUUAUUUCGUCAUAAGGUGAUAUACACACUCAACGAAAGUCAAAAUAAUGUCAUUUACAAAAAUAAAAAUAAAAGAAAGUUAAGGCAGCAAAAAAAUCAAACAAUAAAAUUAAAAUUUAUAUCUUAACAUUAGGUACACGACAAACUUAGGUAAUAUACCCAGUAUUAUGUGCAACCUUAACUUAGUCAAAUUAAUCAACAUAUUAAGUUAAUUUAAAUUUCUAAUGUCUCGGUAGACAAUACCUUCCUAUUAUAUCCUCGGCUUUUUAAAAGUUUUAAAAGAAACUAACAAUUUAUUACUCUUCAUAAUUACAAUACAAAUACUCUUUAUUGUACGUACACUAACAGACAAAAAUUUUUACAUCGAAAGAAAAAUAUAAAUGUGUACAAAAGGCGGUCUUAUCGCUAAAAGAGCGAUCUCUUACAGACAACCUCUAGCAUGAAAAGAGAAUUAGAUGGCAUGGAUGGCAUACAUAUAUGGGUGGGGCUCGCAAAAAAUGUACCUCAUCCAAAUUUUUCGUGAUCCUACCUUUGAAUAAGGUAAAAAGUCAUUUUUUUAAUUCCUGGAAAAGAUUUGCUGCUUUCUGUACACACUUAAAAUAUCACUUGUAAUAGUAUCAGCCCAAUGCAUCAGUUAAAACAUUUGAAACAACAACAAAAAUAUCUGCAUAUCUGUAGGAAUAAUUUUUAGUUCUAUAGAAAAAAAACAAAUGUUUUAGACCUUAGUAAAAAUCAAUAAAUUAAUUUUUCAUCAUGUAGCUUGUAUUUACAGAGCCAUCGUAUUUAGUAAACAAUGGUAUUGGAAUAAAUCUAGAAAUAAUGCGUCAAAAAACUGAUAUUACUAGAGAUAAAAUGAUAAAUUUGUUGGAUUUAAAAAGUGUCCCCAUUUUAUUUCACGUGUAUUAUUAGUCAGUUUGAUACAUGGAAGUUUUUUUUAUGAGGAGUAGAAACACUUCACUUAUUUUUUUUUUGUGCUGGCAACAUUUCAUUCGUAAAAUAGUAAUGUCAGUGAUCUGUCAGCCAACUUAGUUUGCAUAAAAGAAACGGUGCUCGGUGUGGGCUAAGAGUUCGUCAUUGGAUUUUCGUGACUUUCUGGAAGUAAUUUCUCAUGAUGCCACUAACACCUGCUGAAAGGCAAAAACUCUAUCGGGAAAGGUUGAAAGAGAAAGACCCUGAGAAAUUUUUGUCUCAAAAAAGAAAAAAUGCUGACAGAACACGCGAAAAAAGAAAGAAAAUAGCAGAAUACGCUCCAUCCGAGCAGGAAAAUAUUAGAAAACAGUGGAGAUAGAAAGAAAAAAAGUAAAGAAGAACCAUCGUCAUCCUUACCUGAAGUUAUGCCAUCUGAAAAAGACACUUAAAGACAGAAGAAAAAUCAAAAUAGAAGAGUGCUUUAUAAACUAAAAGAAGAAAACAUUGCAUUGAAAAUACAGCAAGGACAUUUGCAAAAAGCUUUGAAAAUUAUAAGAAAAGAAUAAACCGAUGUUUGAAGAAAAAUAAUAAGCUAUUAGAUCUGAUCAAAGAGAAAAACAAUUUGAUUCGUGAUUUAGAAGAAAAGCUUAUUUCUAGAGACAUAAUAGAAAGAAAUGUUGACGAAAUGACUCCUUCUUCGAAGACAGAUGCUUAUAUUCAACAAAAUUUACCGGAUGUCCACCCUGAGGAAAAAGAAAGAGUGAAAAAAACAUUAUUUGAACAUCACGUUAUAAUAGAAACUAUGAAACAAAGUUAGCAAACUAAAGACAUGAAAGAAAAGCAAGUAUUAAAAGAUAUAGUGAAAAAAAGUAAAAUACUAGACAAAUACAAAAUGAAAACAAAAAUGGCUACCUAUUUGGGCUUGAAAGGAAAAAUUCGACAUACAUUAAAGAAAAAAAGUGGUAAUAUAAUACAGACUCAGUUGAAAGACUUUUUUGAGAGAGACGACGUAAGCAAAAGACGGCAGGUAAAAAUGAAAUAAAAACGCAAAACAAUCAAAAAAAGCAGAGAAGGUAUACUAUUACUAGGUAAUACUGCCAGGAAGGAGGAAAGCUGUCAUUCGCUACUUUUAAAAGAUACAUACUUUUAUGUAUUGCCACCAAAAGCUGAGAAACGUGAAACCUGUGCAUGCAAGAAAUAUGAAAAUUUGCAAAUGAAAGCCACGCUUCUAAAGUCAAUUGGUUUAGUAGCAACAAAAGAUCUCGACGAUUUGUUAGCUAUGAUUGUUUGCGAUAUAAAAUCUAAUGUUUGUGCUUAUGGAGAGUGUGAGUUGUGCAAAAAUAAAUGUAUUGAUUUCAUGACUUGUGGAAAAAAACUUAAACGAUGAAAUUUCUUGGGAUGAAUGGAAUUUAAAAUCUCAUCAAUACAAAGGAAAAAUAAAUAGUGAAGAGACAAAAAUUACAAAAAAAAAAAAAAUAGUAAAGGAACGAAAAAGUGGCUCCUUGAAAACUUUACUCGACGCAUUUCAAGAAGAAUUGCAGAGUUUCAAAACCCAUUCAUACAAUAUCGUCCAUCAGUACAAAGAAUACCGUCGGUGCACGAAAAGAUUAGAUGAACGUACCAUAGCAUUACACAUAGACUUCUCUGAAAAUUAUUCAUGUAAAUUAAGCACAGAAAUUCAAGCAAUGCAUUUUGGAGCUUCACGGCAACAGAUUACGGGAAUCGUGUAUACUGCAAAA
RNAcentral lists this unclassified non-coding RNA (3085 nucleotides) under Melitaea cinxia (Glanville fritillary). Its description in RNAcentral is "misc RNA ENSMCXG00005015767.1". The record is from RNAcentral. Lineage: Eukaryota; Metazoa; Arthropoda; Insecta; Lepidoptera; Nymphalidae.